AAUCUACCCAAUGGAGGGGGAUAGCUCGAGGAAACUCGAAUUAAUACCGCAUAAUCUCCACGGAGUAAAGAGGGCUUCGGCUCUCGCCAUCGGAUGAGCCUAUGCAGGAUUAGCUUGUUGGUGAGGUAAAGGCUUACCAAGGCGACGAUCCUUAGCUGGUUUGAGAGGAUGACCAGCCACAUCGGGACUGAGACACGGCCCGGACUUCUACGGAAGGCAGCAGUAGGGAAUAUUGGACAAUGAGCGAAAGCUUGAUCCAGCCAUGCCGCGUGUGCGAUGACGGCCCUCGGGUUGUAAAGCACUUUAGGUAACGAGGAAAAGUUAGGUGUUAAUACCAUCUAACCUUGACGUUAAUUACAGAAUAAGCACCGGCUAAAUCCGUGCCAGCAGCCGCGGUAAUACGGAUGGUGCAAGCGU
Molecule: ribosomal RNA, 417 nt
Filed under: uncultured bacterium
Lineage: Bacteria
Description: bacterial SSU rRNA
Rfam family: Bacterial small subunit ribosomal RNA
Source: RNAcentral